ACUUAAGAGAAAGCAGGUUAAGUGCGUAAAGUGGAGUUGAGAGUCUUUAUAAUUUGCAAACCAAUACGCACAUUCAUUCAUUUUCGUUUUCAUACAGAUCUAUAGCAAUAGUCCUUGAGUUCUUUCAUUUUCAUGGCAGAAAACCUCGUUCACGGAUGCUAGCAAUGGUGUCAAAGAGAGUUUGUUCAUAAGGUAUGAAUCCUCCUAUUAGCUCUGUAGUUUUCUUGUUCCCAAUCUUCUCGGGGGGGAUUCCAUCGUAUCUUCCGGCAUGAGGAAUUCCAAUGCUCGUUUCAGAAACACCCCUACCCAUACAAAUCUCAUUACGCUUUGAACAAAACUGAACAAAAAGGAAUGAAAGUAAACUCACUCGUGGGCACAGCAGCGAAGCUCGGGGAACUUUUCCUUGACCGAUUUCAGGACGUCUCUGUGGGAAACGCUCAGUGCAACGCAAAAGUAGCGCCCCAAAGCAGCCUCGUUCUCGACUGCCAAAAUGUGAGCUUUUGCAACAUCUCUCACGUCCACGAGAGGAAUGUAAGAACUUGGCGAAGGAUUCCGGGAACCUAGAUUAUCACAAACAAGAUAAAUGUCUGUACGAGAAAACCAAGGAAACAACAGUCAAACCUUCUACAACUUCCUUGAGAUAUUCGCUGCUAGUGUUGAGGGUUUGUUGCAAGAGAGGACCAAACACGUAAACCGGGCACACCACGAGAAGUUUGAGCCCUUUCUCUUCGGCAAACUUCCAUGCCGUCUUCUCCGCCUCGGUCUUGGCAACCAAGUACCACCGCUGCAAAACGAAGUCCAACGCACAAGAGUCAAGAGUCAAAUUAAGUCCAAAGCAAGUCCCAUUUAGUUGCCUCGUUUUUGCGGCAGUGGUCAACGUUCGUCCAGCAGCGCUCAUCAACCACCUUGUCCUCGGGACGAUCGGGGUCAAACAUGACCGCUGCGCCGGAGGAAGUCAUCACCACUCGCUUGAUCUUCUCCUCGCUGCAAGCACGCAUCACAUUCUCCGUUCCAGUGAUUGCUGGGACCAACACAUCCUGGCAGAAAACAAAACUCGAAAUUUCUCAUCGCCCACGAGCAAAACCAGCUAGAUUCUUACAUCUGGGGUGUCAAACUUCCAGAAGAAGGGGCAGGCUGUGUGGAAGACGGCCUCACAGCCCCGGACUGCUGGGACAAUGGAAUCGUAGUCGAGAACAUCGGCUUUGAACAGCUUGAGCCUCUCCCCAGCUCCUGGGAGCUGCUUGAGAUGUCCACACUUCGCAUUGUUACCUGAUGAUUGGGUCAUUCAGAUUUCGGCUAUGGAUCAAAGGUAAAAGGGAGAAGUCUAUGCUUACUUGGGUCGCGCACGGUGCCGUGAACAGUAUAGCCUUUCUCCAGAAGCUGCUUUACAAUCCAAGAGGCAAUGAAACCCCCGGCUCCAGUCACACACACGACCUUCUUGCUUUCUUCCAUUGCCAUGCUCUUUGCUCUAUUUGCUACUUAUUUGCUCUAGCUUGCGCUGCUGUGUAUUUAUACACUCUAUCAAGUCUUCAAGAAUUUCCGCUUGCCUUCUGAGGAAGCAUCCUGGAGCGCUGUGGCGUCGCAACUGGAGCACUAUGGCGCCGGUCUCUAGGCUACUGUUUAACUUAAUUGAUUUUCUAUAGAUAGAUGGGGACGCUAUUAAGCGUGCUAUUUACCUAUUUAUUGUGGCUAAGUCAGAUGUCUGCAUCAUGUUGGUGGAGUUUUUGUAAAGUAGCAAUAGGCUCUUGCACCUUUUGCAGCUACUAUACUAAUUUCAGGUUAGAAUGGCGCUUUGAAGUUGCUGGUGGUGCGACGGUAGCAGCAAGGGAGGGUUCAAUUUUCAACCUUCUCUUGUAUUUUUACAUCCUCCGAAGACUAACACGUCGCACUCCACUAGGGCAUCCAACUCACUUGGACAAUUCCAUAACAAGAGCAAAAUAUAAGAGCUGCGUUCUCUUUGAGGAAGCAAGAACUUAAGAGAGAGAAGGUUAAGUGCGUUGACUUCACUCCUAAAGUGGAGUUGAGAGUCUUUAUCUUUUGCAAACCAAUAUGCACAUUCAUUCAUUUUCGUUUUCAUACAGAUCUAUAGCAAUAGUCCUUGAGUUCUUUCAUUUUCAUGGCAGAAAACCUCGUUCACGGAUGCUAGCAAUGGUGUCAAAGAGAGUUUGUUCAUAAGGUAUGAAUCCUCCAAUUAGCUCUGUAGUUUUCUUGUU
RNAcentral lists this long non-coding RNA (2213 nucleotides) under Selaginella moellendorffii. RNAcentral's name for it is "long non-coding RNA (SMOE_LNC000245)". The record is from RNAcentral. Lineage: Eukaryota; Viridiplantae; Streptophyta; Lycopodiopsida; Selaginellales; Selaginellaceae.